UUUGGAGAUUAUAUACGUGGCAAUGUUCCUAUGUUGACUUUUUCUUUGCGUUUGUACAGCAUUUGUGGAACAAUAUACAUUAUUUUGAGCAAUAUAUGCGCCGCGAGUUCAUUGCUAAUCUUUGUUAGCUCGUCAAUGGUGGUUUUCUUUCAUUGUGUGUUAGCUUUGAGCUAGCGAAUUUUCCGAGCAAAAAUGAAGAAAGAAACAACGCCUGUAAUGUAUUUGAACAUUUCACAAGUGUCAUUAUUAUGUUUUGCGUUUAGUUUUACAGUGAACUUCGACUGGAGUGUCAAGAAACGACUCAGCAAACAACAUUUACUCUUCCUGGUUCCUACUGUGUGAGAACUUUAGCAACAUGUUGCUGUCAUUUUAAGGGCUCUGCACAUCAUCCAGGCGCUGCUGUUAAGAAGCGCAAAAGCAGUGGUCCAAAAACUUUUUUUCCCCCCAUCAUCAUGACCUUUGAGGGCCACCUAACGUUUCGCUUCUAAUGGGGGCCCGUAACAGAAAAAGUGUGACUGCAGGAGUACUUAAACGGCGCAGAACAGCUUGGGGAGGUUGUCCUGUGCCUGCUUGAGUGUCAGGAUGAUCAUUUCAGAAGAUAAACCUGCUUGGGAGGGGUGGGAUGGCAGAUUUCAAUUGAAGACAGUAAACAACAAAGCAGAAAGCCUUUGAACGCCCGACGGAGCGCAGCGGCUGUUUGGCAAAUAUGGGAGUGCAUGUGGCUGGACUUGUGGCCGUUGGGGUUUUUUACUUGGUCAUUCUGCUCACUGGAAUCUUCGCCUCUCGGAAGUCCAAGCAAGUGGAGAAGCAAUGUUCUGGAAAAAAAAGCGAAGUCACCAUCGUCGGAG
Molecule: long non-coding RNA, 848 nt
Organism: Syngnathoides biaculeatus (alligator pipefish)
Lineage: Eukaryota; Metazoa; Chordata; Actinopteri; Syngnathiformes; Syngnathidae
Exons: 3
Source: RefSeq, a predicted model, not a curated record